GAUGAACGCUGGCGGCGUGCCUAAUACAUGCAAGUCGAGCGAACGGACGAGAAGCUUGCUUCUCUGAUGUUAGCGGCGGACGGGUGAGUAACACGUGGAUAACCUACCUAUAAGACUGGGAUAACUUCGGGAAACCGGAGCUAAUACCGGAUGAUAUUUUGAACCGCAUGGUUCAAAAGUGAAAGACGGUCUUGCUAUCACUUAUAGAUGGAUCCGCGCUGCAUUAGCUAGUUGGUAAGGUAACGGCUUACCAAGGCAACGAUGCAUAGCCGACCUGAGAGGGUGAUCGGCCACACUGGAACUGAGACACGGUCCAGACUCCUACGGGAGACAGCAGUAGGGAAUCUUCCGCAAUGGGCGAAAGCCUGACGGAGCAACGCCGCGUGAGUGAUGAAGGUCUUCGGAUCGUAAAACUCUGUUAUUAGGGAAGAACAUAUGUGUAAGUAACUGUGCACAUCUUGACGGUACCUAAUCAGAAAGCCACGGCUAACUACGUG
Molecule: ribosomal RNA, 497 nt
Filed under: uncultured bacterium
Lineage: Bacteria
Description: partial 16S ribosomal RNA
Rfam family: Bacterial small subunit ribosomal RNA
Source: RNAcentral